GCCGGAGUAGCUCAGUUGGCCAGAGCACCGCUCUCGUAAAGCGGGGGUCACGGGUUCGAAUCCCGUCUCCGGCU
This 74-nucleotide transfer RNA is filed under the name Actinobacteria bacterium 13_1_20CM_3_68_9. Its description in RNAcentral is "tRNA-Thr". It matches the Rfam family "tRNA". From Rfam's summary of the family: Transfer RNA (tRNA) molecules are approximately 80 nucleotides in length. Their secondary structure includes four short double-helical elements and three loops (D, anti-codon, and T loops). Lineage: Bacteria; Bacillati; Actinomycetota. The record is from RNAcentral. RNAcentral also lists the same sequence under 4 other names.